This 229-nucleotide long non-coding RNA is filed under the name Daucus carota (carrot). Its description in RNAcentral is "long non-coding RNA (DCAR_LNC006109)". The record is from RNAcentral. Lineage: Eukaryota; Viridiplantae; Streptophyta; Magnoliopsida; Apiales; Apiaceae.
AUCUGUGGCACAUUAAGCAAGUGAGUGGGACACCUGUCAGAUUUUAACUGGAAUAGGCGUGUUAGUGGCAUGUAGAAAGAGAAUAAACAGUAAUCAUUAGUGCUGUAAAACUGGUGCAGUAAUAAAUGCUGAUUACACGUUUUCCUAUCAAAAUGGUUUGCAUGCCUCCUACUAAAAAUACAACCGUUUGAAACACUCUCUUCACAUUCUCUGAACAGCUGAACGACUU